GAUGAACGCUAGCUACAGGCUUAACACAUGCAAGUCGAGGGGCAGCAUGGUCUUAGCUUGCUAAGGCCGAUGGCGACCGGCGCACGGGUGAGUAACACGUAUCCAACCUGCCGUCUACUCUUGGACAGCCUUCUGAAAGGAAGAUUAAUACAAGAUGGCAUCAUGAGUCCGCAUGUUCACAUGAUUAAAGGUAUUCCGGUAGACGAUGGGGAUGCGUUCCAUUAGAUAGUAGGCGGGGUAACGGCCCACCUAGUCUUCGAUGGAUAGGGGUUCUGAGAGGAAGGUCCCCCACAUUGGAACUGGGACACGGUCCAAACUCCUACGGGAGGCAGCAGUGAGGAAUAUUGGUCAAUGGGCGAGAGCCUGAACCAGCCAAGUAGCGUGAAGGACGACUGCCCUAUGGGUUGUAAACUUCUUUUAUAAAGGAAUAAAGUCGGGUAUGGAUACCCGUUUGCAUGUACUUUAUGAAUAAGGAUCGGCUAACUCCGUG
Molecule: ribosomal RNA, 490 nt
Filed under: uncultured bacterium
Lineage: Bacteria
Description: partial 16S ribosomal RNA
Rfam family: Bacterial small subunit ribosomal RNA
Source: RNAcentral